The sequence is a regulatory RNA element, 117 nucleotides long. It matches the Rfam family "ALIL pseudoknot". The record is from Rfam.
GGCGCAUUUUGCCCAGGCGGAGCUCGACCGCCGACAACGGUCAUGAUCGCCUCAAUUCACGAUCACCGCGGGGCAUUUGGGGUCUAGCCGAUCUGCAAUUUCCUGGCGAUCGCCCCG